Molecule: non-coding RNA, 24 nt
Filed under: Cricetulus griseus (Chinese hamster)
Lineage: Eukaryota; Metazoa; Chordata; Mammalia; Rodentia; Cricetidae
Source: RNAcentral
AUUCUGGAUAAGUUGAAUUGGGAU